RNAcentral lists this ribosomal RNA (373 nucleotides) under uncultured organism. RNAcentral describes it as "partial 16S ribosomal RNA". It matches the Rfam family "Bacterial small subunit ribosomal RNA", at positions 527 to 896 of the family's 1533-position model. The record is from RNAcentral.
GUAGGUGGCAAGCGUUGUCCGGAAUUAUUGGGCGUAAAGCGCGCGCAGGCGGUUCUUUAAGUCUGAUGUGAAAGCCCACGGCUCAACCGUGGAGGGUCAUUGGAAACUGGAGAACUUGAGUACAGAAGAGGAAAGCGGAAUUCCACGUGUAGCGGUGGAAUGCGUAGAGAUGUGGAGGAACACCAGUGGCGAGGGCGGCUUUCUGGUCUGUAACUGACGCUGAGGCGCGAAAGCGUGGGGAGCAAACAGGGAUUAGAUACCCUGGUAGUCCACGCCGUAAACGAUGAGUGCUAAGUGUUAGGGGGUUUCCGCCCCCUUAGUGCUGCAGCUAACGCAUUAAGCACUCCGCCUGGGGAGUACGGCCGCAAGGCUG